ACCCUAAACCUAAACCCUAAAC
Molecule: non-coding RNA, 22 nt
Filed under: Arabidopsis thaliana (thale cress)
Lineage: Eukaryota; Viridiplantae; Streptophyta; Magnoliopsida; Brassicales; Brassicaceae
Source: RNAcentral